This is a non-coding RNA of Pantherophis guttatus, 1046 nucleotides long. NCBI's taxonomy places the organism in Eukaryota, Metazoa, Chordata, Lepidosauria, Squamata, Colubridae. The record is from RefSeq and is a predicted model, not a curated record.
CUUUUUGAUUGGCUGCUGCUACUGAAUUGGCAGCCGUGGUCUCCCUAGCAACAGGGGAGGGCCAAGAAAAAGCUCAGCCUCCUCCUCCUCGUCAUUUAUUACAGCCAAGGGCUUAGAAAAAUGGUUCAUCCAAUUUUGAACGCUCGUCUUAAGAAAGACUAUCGAUAACUCUGAUGGCCCACGAAUGCUUGACCAUGGAGGCAAACCGCCACACCUAUUUUGUAUUGUUUCUUUCCAGUCCUAAAUGAGCAAAUACAGAAUUAAUGGUGAAAUCCUCCGAGGUCUGCCACCAGUUCUCUGCAUGCAUGCAUACACGGCACGCACUUUGUGUGCAUGCGCACCGCAGGCGCUACCGCACAUCAUGGAAAAAGGAAGCUUAAGAAGGAAAGGAAGAAUUCAACAACAGGUUAGCAAGACCCAAAUCAGAUGCACGAGACAACACACCUGAAAUGGAGGAUGAGUGGAUAGAGGUGUGAAUGGAAAUCAUUAUCUUAUACACAGCAAGCGAAGGCGAGAUGACAGCCCUGAAAACAGGACGCUGAGUCCUAGACAGAGCCUGAUCAACAUGCCAUCAACUGAAGAGGUUCAAGAUGAGACAUGAUGAAAUCUCCUAGCUGGGUAAUAUUUUCCUGGUUCAAUCAAGCCUACUAUUUUCUCUUGAGUCCAUAGAUGUCUACUUGGAGAAAUGGACAGUCUUUAACAAGUCUUUGAUAUGUGAUGAAGAAUGUGGGGUAAGGCCAAGAGGCAGAUUUUGUUCUAGGAAAGCUGAAUUGUAGAUCACAGUGUCCAUCUUAGGCCAUGAUGUCACUGCACAUUCAUUUUGUGUGCAAACUACAGUACUUUAUCCAUACUGUUUUUGUGAUGAUCUCAUGAUCUGCAUGAAGACUCACGUCCCACUCCUUCUAUCCCGUAGAUCUUCAUAAUAUGGACCUCCUACUACCUGAUUAAUAGGUCUUGGUGGCCUCCCAGAAGGCUAAAAGACAUUCCAAAAUUUUUUGAAGAUGAAACAAUCUCAAUUAAACAAUGAAGUUGUAUAAUUAGAGCAA